ACGGCUCAGUAACACGUGGGCAACCUACCCUCAGGACAGGCAUAACCCCGGGAAACUGGGGCUAAUCCCUGAUAGGCACCCUCAACUGGAAUGUGUCGGUGUCGAAAGCUCCGGCGCCUGAGGAUGGGCCUGCGGCCGAUUAGGUUGUUGGCGGGGUAACAGCCCACCAAGCCGACGAUCGGUACGGGCAGUGAGAGCUGUAGCCCGGAGAUGGGGACUGAGACAAGGCCCCAGGCCCUACGGGGCGCAGCAGGCGCGAAACCUUCACAAUGCUCGAAAGAGUGAUGAGGGUACUCCGAGUGCCAGUGCUUAGCACUGGCUUUUCUGCAGCGUAAAUAGUUGCAGGAAUAAGGGCUGGGCAAGACCGGUGCCAGCCGCCGCGGUAACACCGGCAGCCCUAGUGGUGACCGCUUUUAUUGGGCCUAAAGCGUUCGUAGCCGGGCCGGUAAGUCCUUGGGUAAAUCCUGCGUCUCAAGCGCGGGAAUUCUAAGGAUACUACUGGCCUUGAGGCCGGGAUAGGCGAGAGGUACUCCCGGGGUAGGGGUAAAAUCCUAUAAUCCUGGGGGGA
RNAcentral lists this ribosomal RNA (568 nucleotides) under uncultured archaeon. RNAcentral's name for it is "bacterial SSU rRNA". It matches the Rfam family "Archaeal small subunit ribosomal RNA", at positions 85 to 656 of the family's 1478-position model. The record is from RNAcentral.